This 207-nucleotide ribosomal RNA is filed under the name uncultured bacterium. RNAcentral's name for it is "partial 16S ribosomal RNA". It matches the Rfam family "Bacterial small subunit ribosomal RNA", at positions 568 to 774 of the family's 1533-position model. The record is from RNAcentral.
UGCGUAGGCGGGCUAUUAAGUCAGUGGUGAAAUCCUGCAGCUUAACUGUAGAAUUGCCAUUGAUACUGAUGGUCUUGAGUACACUUGAGGUGGGCGGAAUGUGUCAUGUAGCGGUGAAAUGCUUAGAUAUGACACAGAACACCGAUUGCGAAGGCAGCUCACUAAAUUGUAACUGACGCUGAGGCACGAAAGCGUGGGGAUCAAACA